RNAcentral lists this ribosomal RNA (469 nucleotides) under uncultured bacterium. RNAcentral describes it as "bacterial SSU rRNA". It matches the Rfam family "Bacterial small subunit ribosomal RNA", at positions 355 to 822 of the family's 1533-position model. The record is from RNAcentral.
UCGGGAAUUUUGGGCAAUGGGGGCAACCCUGAUCCAGCAAUGCCGCGUGAGUGAAGAAGGCCUUCGGGUUGUAAAGCUCUUUUGUCAGGGAAGAAACGGUAGUAGCGAAUAACUAUUACUAAUGACGGUACCUGAAGAAUAAGCACCGGCUAACUACGUGCCAGCAGCCGCGGUAAUACGUAGGGUGCAAGCGUUAAUCGGAAUUACUGGGCGUAAAGCGUGCGCAGGCGGUUGUGUAAGUCAGAUGUGAAAUCCCCGGGCUCAACCUGGGAAUUGCAUUUGAGACUGCACGGCUAGAGUGUGUCAGAGGGGGGUAGAAUUCCACGUGUAGCAGUGAAAUGCGUAGAUAUGUGGAGGAAUACCGAUGGCGAAGGCAGCCCCCUGGGAUAACACUGACGCUCAUGCACGAAAGCGUGGGGAGCAAACAGGAUUAGAUACCCAUGUAGUCCCUGAGCGGGCUGGCAAGGCG